AACGAACGCUGGCGGCAUGCCUAACACAUGCAAGUCGAACGAGACCUUCGGGUCUAGUGGCGCACGGGUUCGUAACGCGUGGGAACCUGCCCUUAGGUUCGGAAUAACUCCCCGAAAGGGGUGCUAAUACCGGAUAAUGUCUUCGGACCAAAGAUUUAUCGCCUUUGGAUGGGCCCGCGUUGGAUUAGCUAGUUGGUAGGGUAAAAGCCUACCAAGGCGAGGAUCCAUAGCUGGUCUGAGAGGAUGAUCAGCCACACUGGGAAUGAGACACGGCCCAGAAUACGACGGGAGGCAGCAGUGGGGAAUAUUGGAAAAGGGGCGAAAGCCUGAUCAAGCAAUGCCGCGUGAGUGAUGAAGGCCUUAGGGUUGUAAAGCUCUUUUACCCGGGAUGAUAAUGACAGUACCGGGAGAAUAAGCUCCGGCUAACUCCGUG
This 433-nucleotide ribosomal RNA is filed under the name uncultured bacterium. Its description in RNAcentral is "partial 16S ribosomal RNA". It matches the Rfam family "Bacterial small subunit ribosomal RNA", at positions 29 to 507 of the family's 1533-position model. The record is from RNAcentral.